RNAcentral lists this ribosomal RNA (501 nucleotides) under uncultured organism. RNAcentral describes it as "bacterial SSU rRNA". It matches the Rfam family "Bacterial small subunit ribosomal RNA", at positions 1 to 489 of the family's 1533-position model. The record is from RNAcentral.
UGGAUCCAGACUUUGAUCCUGGCUCAGGAUGAACGCUAGCUACAGGCUUAACACAUGCAAGUCGAGGGGAAACGAUAUUGGAAGCUUGCUUCCGAUAGGCGUCGACCGGCGCACGGGUGAGUAACGCGUAUCCAACCUGCCCAUCACUUGGGAAUAACCUUGCGAAAGUAAGACUAAUGCCCAAUGACAUUUAUAGAAGGCAUCUGAAAUGAAUUAAAGAUUUAUCGGUGAUGGAUGGGGAUGCGUCUGAUUAGCUUGUUGGCGGGGUAACGGCCCACCAAGGCGACGAUCAGUAGGGGUUCUGAGAGGAAGGUCCCCCACAUUGGAACUGAGACACGGUCCAAACUCCUACGGGAGGCAGCAGUGAGGAAUAUUGGUCAAUGGGCGAGAGCCUGAACCAGCCAAGUAGCGUGCAGGAUGACGGCCCUAUGGGUUGUAAACUGCUUUUAUAGGGGAAUAAAGUGAGCCACGUGUGGUUUUUUGCAUGUACCCUAUGAAUAA